UUUUCUUCGAAGAAAAUAGGUGACAUACGUGCCAUUUAGAUAGCACGUGCGAUGCCAUCCAAUUAUCAAAAUCACUUUAUGUUGUGUUAGAAGAACUGUCAUGUUCUUUUUCUUCGAAAGAAAAAAAAAAUUAUGAUCCGUGCAUAAACGCGGUGAAAUAGCUUGUUUCUACAAAAAUCCUGUUCACUGUCGAGCUUCAAUUUAGUUUAGAAUCUUUGCAGGUGACUUUCCACAAUGUUGGCUAUACUGACUCAGGUCGUCGCAUUGCAGCAUCUACUUGCAGGGUUCUCCUGUCAAAAUCCUCAUGGGCACUAAUGCACUGAUUCCAAGCGAACAGACUACAUCCAGACUUCAGUACAAUCGUGUGCCUUCUAUCCAGACCUGCUUGCCUUCUUUUCAAACUAAAAGCUGUAAGCAAUAGAGGUAGUUAACAAGGGAACUUAAGCAGGAUUUGAGGAAGGAAUGCGAGACAUGAGACCUGGGGGGAAGAGAAAGAUAAUCAUUGCUCAAGAACUUGGGCCACCGGUCGGACCUCCUACAUUUUUCAGCUCAAAACAGUUUGAAGUUUUUGAUGUGGAACUCCUCAAUUUUAAGGACUGUCAAAGGAAGACUACAGGAUUUUACUCUGAUGUUGUGUGCGACUGACAGGCUUUUGUUAAGCCUUUAAAAGGCAAUUUUGUCGGAACAUUAUCACGCUAGAAGUUUAUCCUACUACGUCGAUUUUUACCUUGUCCAAGAAAGGCCAUAUUGAAAAUUAGCAUUUGAGAAAGUCGGAAUUUUAAUUUUAUACGAUGACUCUAAUUUAUCAACAGUUUUCAGGAAUAUCAUUAUUUGCUAUUUAGUA
Long non-coding RNA from Populus nigra (black poplar), 844 nucleotides. RefSeq lists it as uncharacterized. NCBI's taxonomy places the organism in Eukaryota, Viridiplantae, Streptophyta, Magnoliopsida, Malpighiales, Salicaceae. The transcript has 2 exons. The record is from RefSeq and is a predicted model, not a curated record.